GUGGGGAAUAUUGGACAAUGGGCGCAAGCCUGAUCCAGCCAUGCCGCGUGUGUGAAGAAGGUCUUCGGAUUGUAAAGCACUUUAAGUUGGGAGGAAGGGCAUUAACCUAAUACGUUAGUGUUUUAACGUUACCGACAGAAUAAGCACCGGCUAACUUCGUGCCAGCAGCCGCGGUAAUACGAAGGGUGCAAGCGUUAAUCGGAAUUACUGGGCGUAAAGCGCGCGUAGGUGGUUCAGUAAGUUGGAAGUGAAAUCCCCGGGCUCAACCUGGGAACUGCUUUCAAAACUGCUGAGCUAGAGUACGGUAGAGGGUGGUGGAAUUUCCUGUGUAGCGGUGAAAUGCGUAGAUAUAGGAAGGAACACCAGUGGCGAAGGCGACCACCUGGACUGAUACUGACACUGAGGUGCGAAAGCGUGGGGAGCAAACAGGAUUAGAUACCCCAGUAGUCC
Molecule: ribosomal RNA, 450 nt
Filed under: uncultured bacterium
Lineage: Bacteria
Description: bacterial SSU rRNA
Rfam family: Bacterial small subunit ribosomal RNA
Source: RNAcentral